This 846-nucleotide long non-coding RNA is filed under the name Gossypium raimondii (Peruvian cotton). Its description in RNAcentral is "long non-coding RNA (GRAI_LNC007117)". Lineage: Eukaryota; Viridiplantae; Streptophyta; Magnoliopsida; Malvales; Malvaceae. The record is from RNAcentral.
AAUUUAAAAUUACACAAUUGUGUAAUUGUAAUUUAAAAUUAUAAUUUAAGAAUUAUAUAUAAUUGUAAUAGCCAAUUUUAACCCGGGGCCCAAAUUAACCAAUCAAAUCCAAUAAAACUUGGGCCAAUCCUGACCCAAUUGCAUUUGGCCCAAUAAGGCCCAAGUGUGCUAACCCUAGCCUAACCCUAAGCAGCAGUUAGCAGUAGCCACCCCACGUCGCAGCAACCUCCAGUGCCGUGCACGCCCCACGUUCGGCAGCCUCCCAAACUGUCCCACAUCUUUGCUGGCACGUCCACUCGCAAAACGCUCACACAUUUGCAAGCCACAGACAACACUAAUAGGAUAUACACACAACAAAACAGUUGUAAAAGGAUUUAGGGAGGGCUAUAUAAAGGCCAAUGAUUUUCUGUAACUUGGUUAGAAAAAUUUUGUACUAAAAAGAGAAAAAUAUUGUAUUGUAAAAAUACUGAAAUACAAACAAAGAAUCAAAAACAAUUUUUGAAGGUAAUUUUCUUUGUGUUUUAUUUAUUUAUCUACUUUUUUUUUCUUUGCUUCUCUGUUUUUGGUGCAAAAGAAAAAGCAAAAAGAAAAGGACGAAACUUACCUGAAUCGGAGUCGGCGGCGAAGCUUGAACGGCGGUGGCGUGGCGAUAGUUAGGGCUUUAAAGAAGGCCUAGCAGAUCCCUCUUUCUUCCCUCUGUUGUUUUAAAAAAGAAAAAGGAAGAUGAAGCAAUUUUGCGCCUAUUGCUGCUGCAGAGUAGGCUUUUAAUUGGAGAUGAAAAGGGUUUUAAACACUGAUGGGUUAUUUGCGUUUUUAAUCCUUCAUUUUAUCCCAUCAUUUCAAAAU